Molecule: ribosomal RNA, 499 nt
Filed under: uncultured bacterium
Lineage: Bacteria
Description: partial 16S ribosomal RNA
Rfam family: Bacterial small subunit ribosomal RNA
Source: RNAcentral
GACGAACGCUGGCGGCGUGCUUAACACAUGCAAGUCGAACGGGCCCGCCCCUGUUUUUGGGGGUGGGUUGAGUGGCGAACGGGUGAGUAUCACGUGAGUAACCUGCCCCCUGCUCCUGGAUAACUGCUUGAAAGGGCGGCUAAUACGGGGUGUGCCGGCUGGUCCGCAUGGGCCUGGUCGGGAUAGUUUCAUCUUCGGGUGUUUCGGUGGGGGAUGGGCUCGCGGCCUAUCAGCUUGUUGGUGGAGUGAUGGCCCACCAAGGCGGUGACGGGUAGCCGGCCUGAGAGGGUGGGCGGCCACACUGGGACUGAGACACGGCCCAGACUCCUGCGGGAGGCAGCAGUGGGGGGUAUUGCACAAUGGGCGGAAGCCUGAUGCAGCGACGUCGCGUGAGGGAUGGAGGCCUUCGGGUUGUGAACCUCUUUCUCCGGUGGUGAAGGCCCUGUCCGUUGCGGCGGGGUUGACGGUAGCCGGGUAUGAAGCGCCGGCUAACUACGUG